This 518-nucleotide ribosomal RNA is filed under the name Alosa pseudoharengus (alewife). RNAcentral's name for it is "partial small subunit ribosomal RNA". It matches the Rfam family "Bacterial small subunit ribosomal RNA", at positions 20 to 925 of the family's 1533-position model. Lineage: Eukaryota; Metazoa; Chordata; Actinopteri; Clupeiformes; Clupeidae. The record is from RNAcentral.
AUUAUCAGCUUUAACCCCAUUUACACAUGCAAGCCUCCGCACCCCUGUGAGGAUGCCCUCAAUCCCCCGUCCGGGGACGAGGAGCCGGUAUCAGGCACACUUUUUAGCCCAAGACGCCUUGCUUAGCCACACCCCCAAGGGAAUUCAGCAGUGAUAGACAUUAAGCCAUAAGUGAAAACUUGACUUAGUCAGGGUUAAGAGGGCCGGUAAAACUCGUGCCAGCCACCGCGGUUAUACGAGAGGCCCUAGUUGAUUCACUCGGCGUAAAGAGUGGUUAUGGAGAAUAAAAUACUAAAGCCGAAGACCCCUUAGGCCGUCAUACGCACCUAGGGGCUCGAAUUAUAGACACGAAAGUAGCUUUACCCCUUCCCACCAGAACCCACGACAGCUGGGACACAAACUGGGAUUAGAUACCCCACUAUGCCCCGCCGUAAACUUAGAUAUUCCAGUACAACAAAUAUCCGCCAGGGGACUACGAGCGCCAGCUUAAAACCCAAAGGACUUGGCGGUGCUUCAGA